GCAAGUCGAGGGGUAACAGGAAAGCUUGCUUUUGCUGACGACCGGCGCACGGGUGCGUAACGCGUAUACAAUCUGCCUUGUACUAGGGAAUAGCCUUUAGAAAUGAAGAUUAAUGCCCUAUAGUCUAUUUGAAUGGCAUCAUUUAAAUAGUAAAGGUUACGGUACAAGAUGAGUAUGCGUCCUAUUAGUUUGUUGGUAAGGUAACGGCUUACCAAGACUACGAUAGGUAGGGGCCCUGAGAGGGGGAUC
Molecule: ribosomal RNA, 249 nt
Filed under: uncultured bacterium
Lineage: Bacteria
Description: partial 16S ribosomal RNA
Rfam family: Bacterial small subunit ribosomal RNA
Source: RNAcentral